Eubalaena glacialis (North Atlantic right whale) is the source of this 407-nucleotide long non-coding RNA. RefSeq lists it as uncharacterized. The record is from RefSeq and is a predicted model, not a curated record. Lineage: Eukaryota; Metazoa; Chordata; Mammalia; Artiodactyla; Balaenidae. The transcript is spliced from 4 exons.
AGACAGGAGUGGCUUUGGCAUCGUCAUUGCAACUUUUAACUGGAAUCCUUGGCCAUUACACAAGGUUCCCACUCACUGCCCGUGUGGAUGCCUCCUCCGAAGCAGCUUGUCUGUACCUGGGAUGAAGAGCCACUAGGUGACGCUGUUGUCACUCAUCUGCCCCAGAUAUGAGCUGCCCCUUUGCAGCACUCAGCAUUACAGCAGAAGAAACUGGAAACCCAAGACCUUGAAGGGCGUGUGAAGAGAAGGAGGCAGAAUGAGGGCAAGCAGAAGAUACCUCGUGCCCAGAUCUUGGUUUCUAAUGCCACACUCCAAAAGAAGAAACUAAGGCUUCCUGGAGAAGUAGCUGAUUCACAAGGAGGCAAGAUUCACAAAACAGGCCGGUACUUGCAAUUCCUGCUGAUACC